RNAcentral lists this microRNA precursor (105 nucleotides) under Canis lupus familiaris (dog). RNAcentral describes it as "mir-8834 microRNA precursor family". It matches the Rfam family "mir-8834 microRNA precursor family". The record is from Rfam by way of RNAcentral. RNAcentral also lists the same sequence under 1 other name. Lineage: Eukaryota; Metazoa; Chordata; Mammalia; Carnivora; Canidae.
AGGACGAACAACCCCAGAGGCCGGGGCAGCUCUGGAGCCCUGGAGUCAGCUCCCGCUGUAGCUACAGAGCUCUCCGUCUGCAGGGCCUGGAGGCUCCGGGGCGGG